Molecule: ribosomal RNA, 1134 nt
Filed under: uncultured organism
Description: bacterial SSU rRNA
Rfam family: Bacterial small subunit ribosomal RNA
Source: RNAcentral
CUACGGGAGGCAGCAGUAGGGAAUAUUGCGCAAUGGGGGAAACCCUGACGCAGCGACGCCGCGUGAGUGAUGACCGCCCUAUGGGUAGUAAAGCUCUGUAAGCGAGGGAAGAACCUGUUGGUGUACCGGCCAGCUCUGACGGUACCUCCAAAGUAAGGACCGGCUAGGUACAUGCCAGGAGGCGCGGGAAUACGUAUGGUCCGAACGUUGUCCGGAAUGACUGGGCCUAAAGGGUGCGUAAGCGGACGAUACAAGUCAGGUGUGAAAUCCGCGGGCUCAAUCUGAGAACGGAGCUUGAGACUGUAUUUCUAGAGUAUGUCAGAGGUAGGCGGAAUUCCCGGACUACCGGUGAAGUGCGUAGAGAUCGGGGAGAACACCCGGAGGCGAAUGCGGCUUACUGGGGCAUAAGUGACGCUGAGGCACUAAAGCGUGGGGAGCGAACGGGAUUAGAGACCCCGGUAGUCCACAGCCGUAAACGCUGGAUACUAGAUCUUGGGUGUUUUACGCACCACUCGGUGUCGUAGCUAACGCGAUAAGUAUCCCGCCUGGGGAGUACGGUCGCAAGAUUAAAACUCAAAGGAAUCGCCGGGGACCCGCACAACCGCUGGAGCAUCUGGUUUAAUUCGAGGCUACGCGAAGAGCCUUACCCGGACUUGACAUCCCGGGCCACAGAUAGAGAUAUGUGGUAUCUCUUCGGAGACUCAGGAGACAGGUGGUGCAUGACUGUCGUCAGCUCGUCUUGUCGAGAUGCUUGGGAUAAGUCCCGCAGCGAGCGCCACCCUUACUGUCAGUCGCCAGCAUUAAGUUGGCCAUUCUGACGGAAUUGCCCGGGUUAACCGGGAGAAAGGUGGGGAUGACGUCAAGUCCUCAUGGCCCUUAUGUCCGGGGUUACACACGUGCUACAUUGUUGCAGACAGAGGGUAAGUGAGUCGGUAACGUUAAGCGAAUCUCAGAACCUGUACCCUCAGUUCGGAUUGGGGUAUGCAACUCGAGCCCUAUGAAGUUGGAAUCGCUAGUAAUCGCGGAACAGCAUGCCGCGGUGUAUAUGUUCCCGGGCUUUGUACACACCGCCCGUCACACCAUGGGAUUGUUCUCACUGGAAGACGUUGAGCCAGCCUUCGGGAGGCAGGCGUC